Molecule: long non-coding RNA, 2092 nt
Organism: Bombus pyrosoma
Lineage: Eukaryota; Metazoa; Arthropoda; Insecta; Hymenoptera; Apidae
Exons: 3
Source: RefSeq, a predicted model, not a curated record
UUCAUUUAUUCUAUUGAUAUAUGUAUCUUUAUAUUUUUUAAUUAACUCCUCUAACAUCCUUCGAAAUAGUACAGUAGUAGAAGGCGAAAGAAUUCAUUAUUCGAACGAAUAAUUCAACAAUGUGAAAUGUGACAAAAUGUCUAAAAAUUUUUCUCAUACCUUAACUACAGUGUAAGGAAUUAAAUUGCAUCUGAUAAAUGACAGAAAAAGAUUCACUUCUUAUUACUUCGUCGCAAGUUCUAACACCAGCGGUUCGUUUAACGCAAACUCGUAUUCGCGCAGCGAGUCACUCAUAUUAUACGGAAAUAAUACGCGUCGUGAAACGUGUAAAUUGCUGGCUGUUCGGCGGCUAUGAAGUGUACGGAAUACACGUUGGCGACCAGUCGCAGGGGCAAGCUGUAGAUGUAUUCCUUGUGCCUUGAAGCUAGCUUCGACCAAGUGGAGAACAAGGAAAGAAAAAAGAGAAGAUAGAUAGAGAAAGAGAGAGAGGAUGGCUCACGAGUUAAAGAACGAGAAGAAAAGAUGAAUGGUGCGUGAGCAGUUUCGUUCUUGGGAGGCGAAAGGCAAGCCGGUGGAACGAAUUGUUCCAUCGAUCGAUCGGACGUGUUCAAGGACCGUUCAUACCUGUUCCUGAAACACCACAGCGGAGAGACAACGAGAGAGUCUGGCACCAGGAGAGGGGCUGUGCAUGACAAGGUUCGAUGUUUCAUCGUGAAAGUGUACACACACCAGAGGAACGCGUGUGAUGGUGAUCACGUGUGUGAGCAGAAUCAGAAAACAAAAAGAGGAAAGAAAGAAAGUGGAAGGUUCGGAAGGGGUAAAAAUGAAAAAACACAGCAAGAAAAGUAGUAACUGGAUGGGAAGAAAAAGAAAAAGGAAAAAAGUGGCGCCUGUCCUCGUUCAUUCCAAUCUACAGAGGUUAAUAAUAUCGAAAAUAUUGCUCUCCCAUCGGUAAUUUAAAUAAAAAUACGUUUUUUCAACACUCGUACACGAAGCUGAUGCGCUCGCGUGCACGCGUACGCGUGUACUCGCGAUCGUCGCUGGAUAAAAACGCCGGGAAUUACAGGGACAGUAAUUUCUGAGCCGGAAUCAACACUUAUUAUGCUCGUGUCUACGCCACCCUGAUAAACGAACGCUUCCAACGAAAAAGGCUGAAACUGAGAGAGAACGUACAUAUGUGUAUCUCUGGCGCUCUGGCCAACUCGAGCUCCGAUCAUAACGAACGAUUAUUUUUCAUACGCUUUUUUUCGUACGGAAUAUUCUGAUAGAAAAAAAUACGACUGGGUGGGCUGCCGGGAAAUUUCGUGCACGCCUUUGCAAGAAAAUCAAUUUUUCCUCCUUUUUUUUGCUCUCUCUCUCUGUAUUUCUUUUCCGCGCUACCUAGCAUCAUGUGAAAAUCACUGGGAGUUUCGAAUGAAUGAAAGGCUGGUUUGCUUAUCGACUAUACAUGGGGAAAAAAGGAGGAAAAUGUAACGCGUGUCCUUUGAAGAUGUAAAAUCGUUGACAUAUUAUCGAUACCUUAUAACCAAAGUCUCGUUUAAAUUGCUAUAAUCAACCACAUAUUAUCGCGCAAUAAAGGCAAAAAGGAUUUUAUACGGAGUUUUUCAAAGAUCGAUUGAAAACAAAAUAUUUCGCAGAGAAAUUUGGAUAUUCUUUGAGAAUGUAGUAGGACGUUUUUGGUAGGAGAGUCACGCGAGAAUUUUCUAGUCGGGGAUUGCGCGAGUGAGUGGAACAAGUACGAACGCCGACAGACAGAGGCAGAAGGGACAAUUUUCAAUUUUGUUCGACGGCCAGCCUGCCGUCCGGCAAUUUUGAAACUAACUGGUUAUCCGAGAGUCGUCUACGCAAACAGAUGAGCGUUGAUUUCGUCACUCGCCCCGUUGAAUCCAGAAGCACCGAGUCGAGGACCGGACGAAAAGGAAGAAAGAGGGAGAGAAAGAGAGAGAGAGAGAGAAAGAGAGAGAGAAAAGGGUGUAAGAGUGGCGAAUUCUGACAACUGCACGCUCGUUUUCGCGCGGGAAUUCCUUGGUGACUCAUUUUGUUACUUUGCAUCCAUGAUACCAUUAUUUUAUUAUUAAAUCAAAACCUUUAU